RNAcentral lists this ribosomal RNA (496 nucleotides) under uncultured bacterium. Its description in RNAcentral is "partial 16S ribosomal RNA". It matches the Rfam family "Bacterial small subunit ribosomal RNA", at positions 29 to 507 of the family's 1533-position model. The record is from RNAcentral.
AUGAACGCUGGCGGCGUGCCUAAUACAUGCAAGUCGCGCGAACAGACGAGGAGCUUGCUCCUCUGACGUUAGCGGCGGACGGGUGAGUAACACGUGGAUAACCUACCUAUAAGACUGGGAUAACUUCGGGAAACCGGAGCUAAUACCGGAUAAUAUAUUGAACCGCAUGGUUCAAUAGUGAAAGACGGUUUUGCUGUCACUUAUAGAUGGAUCCGCGCCGCAUUAGCUAGUUGGUAAGGUAACGGCUUACCAAGGCAACGAUGCGUAGCCGACCUGAGAGGGUGAUCGGCCACACUGGAACUGAGACACGGUCCAGACUCCUACGGGAGGCAGCAGUAGGGAAUCCUCCGCAAUGGGCGAAAGCCUGACGGAGCAACGCCGCGUGAGUGAUGAAGGUCUUCGGAUCGUAAAACUCUGUUAUUAGGGAAGAACAAAUGUGUAAGUAACUAUGCACGUCUUGACGGUACCUAAUCAGAAAGCCACGGCUAACUACGUG